UAGCCCAGUGGUUAGGGCACUCACCUGGGAUGUGGGAGAUGCGGGUUUAACUCCCCC
RNAcentral lists this transfer RNA (57 nucleotides) under Chelonia mydas (Green sea turtle). It matches the Rfam family "tRNA", at positions 8 to 63 of the family's 71-position model. Rfam says of the family: Transfer RNA (tRNA) molecules are approximately 80 nucleotides in length. Lineage: Eukaryota; Metazoa; Chordata; Testudines; Cheloniidae. The record is from Rfam by way of RNAcentral.